CUUCGUGGUUCUGUAGAAUAAGCUGCUUACUUCGUGUCCCUGGGAUUAUUCAUGUAGACCCCGUAGAUAUUUCAUUUUGUUUCCUUCUCGAAAAACACUUUCUGUUUAAUCUAUCUAGGCAAUGAAAAAUAACGCCAAAAACUUUGUCUCUCAGACAAGUAAGUUUUCCCUUAAGAAUGGCGAGUAAGUUGUUCGGAUCAAGAAUCACAGAAUACAUUCCAUAAAAAUGUCACUUCAACCCCUUCCUAAGUGGGAGGAAAGAAAGAAGGCCUCCCUGAAAGCAACAUGCAAGCGGGCAAACAAUGUGUAGCCCAAAAAGCUGCUUCUUACAUUGAGGAAAACUGGAAAU
This is a long non-coding RNA of Parasteatoda tepidariorum (common house spider), 349 nucleotides long. The record is from RefSeq and is a predicted model, not a curated record. NCBI's taxonomy places the organism in Eukaryota, Metazoa, Arthropoda, Arachnida, Araneae, Theridiidae.